CCCUUAGAUGUCCGGGGCUGCACGCGCGCUACACUGAUGCAUUCAACGAGCCUAUCCUUGACCGACAGGUCCGGGUAAUCUUUGAAUCUGCAUCGUGACGGGGAUAGAUUAUUGCAAUUAUUAAUCUUCAACGAGGAAUGCCUAGUAGGCGCAAGUCAUCAGCUUGCGUCGAUUGCGUCCCUGCCCUUUGUACACACCGCCCGUCGCUCCUACCGAUUGGGUGUGCUGGUGAAAUGUUCGGAUCGGCCGUUUGUCGCGGUUUCCGCGGCUCGUGGCUGAGAAGUUCAUUAAACCCUCCCACCUAGAGGAAGGAGAAGUCGUAACA
This 325-nucleotide ribosomal RNA is filed under the name uncultured eukaryote. Its description in RNAcentral is "partial 18S ribosomal RNA". It matches the Rfam family "Eukaryotic small subunit ribosomal RNA", at positions 1470 to 1796 of the family's 1831-position model. The record is from RNAcentral.